RNAcentral lists this ribosomal RNA (164 nucleotides) under uncultured bacterium. RNAcentral's name for it is "partial 16S rRNA". It matches the Rfam family "Bacterial small subunit ribosomal RNA", at positions 355 to 511 of the family's 1533-position model. The record is from RNAcentral.
UAGGGAAUCUUCCACAAUGGGCGAAAGCCUGAUGGAGCAACGCCGCGUGUGUGAUNAAGGGUUUCGGCUCGUAAAACACUGUUGUAAGAGAAGAAUGACAUUGAGAGUAACUGUUCAAUGUGUGACGGUAUCUUACCAGAAAGGAACGGCUAAAUACGUGCCAC